Molecule: long non-coding RNA, 327 nt
Filed under: Castor canadensis (American beaver)
Lineage: Eukaryota; Metazoa; Chordata; Mammalia; Rodentia; Castoridae
Description: Six3os1 conserved region 4 (ENSCCNG00000007819.1)
Rfam family: Six3os1 conserved region 4
Source: RNAcentral
UAAGCCCUGCUCAGAAGUCAAGAGCAGCAGCGCCGCCGCUCCGUGCGGCCUUUCAAGCCGCAGCCGUUCCUUAUUCUUGUGUCUCGGCCUCUCUGGGUGCCCCCCGGACAAAGCCCCCGAAGCUCGGCCGCUCCCUUCCCGCUAAAUCCCCUUCGGGGUCAGUGCUUUACCAGCACCGGGCCGUGCGCCUCUCCAGCCAGCCGUGUGGCUCUUAAAGAGCCGCACCCCCCCACUCCGCCCCGCGCGCUCCUCCGACCCCCGCCUCCCCUCCCCUCUCCUCCGGAUCAAGCCCCCCACGCCGACGCCUGAGGUCCCUGCUGCCCCGAC